CUCGAAAGCAUGGGUAGCGAACAGGAUUAGAUACCCUGGUAGUCCAUGCCGUAAACGAUGAAUGCUAGGUGUUGGAGGGUUUCCGCCCUUCAGUGCCGCAGCUAACGCAUUAAGCAUUCCGCCUGGGGAGUACGACCGCAAGGUUGAAACUCAAAGGAAUUGACGGGGGCCCGCACAAGCGGUGGAGCAUGUGGUUUAAUUCGAAGCAACGCGAAGAACCUUACCAGGUCUUGACAUCUUUUGAUCACCUGAGAGAUCAGGUUUCCCCUUCGGGGGCAAAAUGACAGGUGGUGCAUGGUUGUCGUCAGCUCGUGUCGUGAGAUGUUGGGUUAAGUCCCGCAACGAGCGCAACCCUUAUGACUAGUUGCCAGCAUUUAGUUGGGCACUCUAGUAAGACUGCCGGUGACAAACCGGAGGAAGGUGGGGAUGACGUCAAAUCAUCAUGCCCCUUAUGACCUGGGCUACACACGUGCUACAAUGGAUGGUACAACGAGUUGCGAGACCGCGAGGUCAAGCUAAUCUCUUAAAGCCAUUCUCAGUUCGGACUGUAGGCUGCAACUCGCCUACACGAAGUCGGAAUCGCU
RNAcentral lists this ribosomal RNA (584 nucleotides) under Lacticaseibacillus casei. RNAcentral's name for it is "bacterial SSU rRNA". It matches the Rfam family "Bacterial small subunit ribosomal RNA", at positions 752 to 1336 of the family's 1533-position model. Lineage: Bacteria; Bacillati; Bacillota; Bacilli; Lactobacillales; Lactobacillaceae. The record is from RNAcentral.